AUGGAGACCGAGGAGGAGACUGGGGCUGAGGAUGAUGAUGAUGACUACGUGCCUUCUGAGGCAGAGCCCUCUUGGGCAAAGAAGCUCAAGCUCAAGAUGAAGAAGUUGUUCUGCAUGGAGUCUCACGGUCAGUACAUGACUCAUGUGGCUGAGAAGAAGGCCCGAGGUCGCCAUAACGAGCUCAUGCGACAGAUGGGUGCUACUGUGAUCAGUGGAUCUGAGGAUCAGCUUACUGAGGAGGAGGAGUGGAUUCAGCAGCACUGCCCGUGGACCGAUUCUGAUGCCGAGCACUUCCAGACCGACGACGGUGGCGCAGAUGAUCCCACUGAGCUCUGA
RNAcentral lists this ribosomal RNA (336 nucleotides) under Triticum aestivum (bread wheat). RNAcentral describes it as "partial small subunit ribosomal RNA". The record is from RNAcentral. Lineage: Eukaryota; Viridiplantae; Streptophyta; Magnoliopsida; Poales; Poaceae.